CCUGGGUAGAAGAAAGGAGAAGGGUUUGGGUUUUCCCUCCACUUCUAGGGGUCAAGGUGAGGUAGGUGGGCAGUGGCUGGAUGUGGCCCCUCACCUGUGCUUCGUUAAAGCCUGAGCAGGGCAUAGAGUGGCUGCAGCUGCUUUCCUCCUCUGCCUGCGUAUGGGAUGAGAAAUGAAAACCAGUACUUCUGUUUCUGGCUGCUUGACUCCCCAUUUCCAUAGCUUUGGCUUGUAGCAGGCUUGUGGUUGCCACGAUCAUGAAGACUUGCUGACGAGAGGGCGAAAAUGAAGGGAAGCCAUGCCAGCCUAGAGGGAACUAGUUCCUUAUCAAACAUCUCACAACAUCUCCUUACUUUUGGAUUUAAUAUACUUUGCAUUUUUGGAAAGAGCUCAUCAACAAAUUCAGCUGUUUUGCUGGUUGGGUCCAUCCCGCACAGGCAGAAAGCCCUUGGUUGACGUCCCUUUGCCACCUGCAUGCUCUGGGAUAGAGGAUGAUCCCUACACUGGGUUAUUAUACAACAUCAACUGCUGCAAAAAUGCUAAAACUAAAUCGUGGAGAAAGAGUAAGAUCCCAGUGAGCCACGUCUAGGUGAGGAUCAAUGGAACAGAUCAUUGGCAAUUUCCGACACAGCGACAUCUCACCCCGUGCUGCUGCCCAGCGCUGCACCAGCUCCAAGCUUGCUGUUUCCCUGAAAAUAUCAGUUGCAAACGGGGUCUCCUCCUCCUGAGAAAAUCAGUACUUAUCGACCAGGGACUGUUUUCAAACAGCUGUAAAAUGCAGAAUGUCCCUGUCACUCCGCAACGUCUCAGCUGAUGGUUCAUCAUUACAGCAUGUAACUACUUGGCUCCUGCAGAUGCAAAAUGUGCAACUUGAGGCAUUGAUGGCAUCUCACUAUUACAUAGAAAAAUGAAUGUCUGUCUCAAUCUAGCUUAGUUUAAAAAAAAAAAAACAACACCUCAGCAGAAGAUGGUACGGUGUAUAGAUGCAUGUAUUUGCAAGUGUUAGCUUUGAAAAAGGAAGAAAAACGUGGGGCAGUGCUGUGCACCAUGGGCCAGCAGGGAUGGAAACGGAUUAGGUUUGCGCAGUGAGCUUGUGUGGUUGGAGGGAUGCUGAGUGAAAUAAAUAGGGCUCUGCCAUGGAUGAAGGCAAUUAGGACAGCCCAACUCAUGGCCCUAGUGCUGACGGGCUCUGUCAGGCUCCAAGCUGGGGUUGCUGUUCUCUAUAGGAGGCUGGUGUACCAGCAGCAUUUGGUAACCAAGGGACAAAAUAGCAAAAGCACUCUUGCAGUUCCUGUAUUUCCUCUCCCUCUCCUUUCUCUGACACAAUUCACCUGUUGUGGGAAGGGGAUGGUGAAUUUGAAUGUUCCCAGUGAGCUUGGGUCCUUGGGUCCACUGUUACCCCAAUGCUCCACCUCCACCUAAUGCUCUCCUUCACUGUCUCCUAAGUGAAGGUGACUUAGGAGAAUGGUAACUGAAAUAACAGUUCUGCCUUAUACAGACCUGGUUUAUGUUCUCAGGGAAGGGAGCAGGAAGAGGAGUGGAUUUGAGCUAUACGAAGAUUCUGAGCAUCUGCAGCAGUGGAAUGAAGAUUCACAAUUCCAGCCAAGCAAGA
Molecule: long non-coding RNA, 1612 nt
Filed under: Gallus gallus (chicken)
Lineage: Eukaryota; Metazoa; Chordata; Aves; Galliformes; Phasianidae
Description: lncRNA (ENSGALG00010029113.1)
Source: RNAcentral